UAGGGAAUCUUCCACAAUGGACGCAAGUCUGAUGGAGCAACGCCGCGUGAGUGAAGAAGGUUUUCGGACCGUAAAGCUCUGUUGUUGGUGAAGAAGGAUAGAGGUAGUAACUGGCCUUUAUUUGACGGUAAUCAACCAGAAAGUCACGGCUAACUACGUGCCAGCAGCCGCGGUAAUACGUAGGUGGCAAGCGUUGUCCGGAUUUAUUGGGCGUAAAGCGAGCGCAGGCGGAAGAAUAAGUCUGAUGUGAAAGCCCUCAGCUUAACCGAGGAAUUGCAUCGGAAACUGUUUUCUUGAGUGCAGAAGAGGAGAGUAGAACUCCAUGUGUAGUGGUGGAAUGCGUAGAUAUAUGGAAGAAUACCAGUGGCGAAGGCGGCUCUCUGGUCUGCAACUGACGCUGAGGCUCGAAAGCAUGGGUAGCGAACAGGAUUAGAUACCCUGGUAGUCCAUGCCGUAAACGAUGAGUGCUAAGUGUUGGGAGGCUUCCGCCUCUCAGUGCUGCAGCUAACGCAUUAAGCACUCCGCCUGGGGGAGUACGACCGCAAGGUUGAAAC
RNAcentral lists this ribosomal RNA (554 nucleotides) under uncultured bacterium. RNAcentral's name for it is "partial 16S ribosomal RNA". It matches the Rfam family "Bacterial small subunit ribosomal RNA", at positions 355 to 900 of the family's 1533-position model. The record is from RNAcentral.